CAGUCGAACGAACUCUGGUAUUGAUUGGUGCUUGCAUCAUGAUUUACAUUUGAGUGAGUGGCGAACUGGUGAGUAACACGUGGGAAACCUGCCCAGAAGCGGGGGAUAACACCUGGAAACAGAUGCUAAUACCGCAUAACAACUUGGACCGCAUGGUCCGAGUUUGAAAGAUGGCUUCGGCUAUCACUUUUGGAUGGUCCCGCGGCGUAUUAGCUAGAUGGUGAGGUAACGGCUCACCAUGGCAAUGAUACGUAGCCGACCUGAGAGGGUAAUCGGCCACAUUGGGACUGAGACACGGCCCAAACUCCUACGGGAGGCAGCAGUAGGGAAUCUUCCACAAUGGACGAAAGUCUGAUGGAGCAACGCCGCGUGAGUGAAGAAGGGUUUCGGCUCGUAAAACUCUGUUGUUAAAGAAGAACAUAUCUGAGAGUAACUGUUCAGGUAUUGACGGUAUUUAACCAGAAAGCCACGGCUAACUACGUGCCAGCAGCCGCGGUAAUACGUAGGUGGCAAGCGUUGUCCGGAUUUAUUGGGCGUAAAGCGAGCGCAGGCGGUUUUUUAAGUCUGAUGUGAAAGCCUUCGGCUCAACCGAAGAAGUGCAUCGGAAACUGGGAAACUUGAGUGCAGAAGAGGACAGUGGAACUCCAUGUGUAGCGGUGAAAUGCGUAGAUAUAUGGAAGAACACCAGUGGCGAAGGCGGCUGUCUGGUCUGUAACUGACGCUGAGGCUCGAAAGUAUGGGUAGCAAACAGGAUUAGAUACCCUGGUAGUCCAUACCGUAAACGAUGAAUGCUAAGUGUUGGAGGGUUUCCGCCCUUCAGUGCUGCAGCUAACGCAUUAAGCAUUCCGCCUGGGGAGUACGGCCGCAAGGCUGAAACUCAAAGGAAUUGACGGGGGCCCGCACAAGCGGUGGAGCAUGUGGUUUAAUUCGAAGCUACGCGAAGAACCUUACCAGGUCUUGACAUACUAUGCAAAUCUAAGAGAUUAGACGUUCCCUUCGGGGACAUGGAUACAGGUGGUGCAUGGUUGUCGUCAGCUCGUGUCGUGAGAUGUUGGGUUAAGUCCCGCAACGAGCGCAACCCUUAUUAUCAGUUGCCAGCAUUAAGUUGGGCACUCUGGUGAGACUGCCGGUGACAAACCGGAGGAAGGUGGGGAUGACGUCAAAUCAUCAUGCCCCUUAUGACCUGGGCUACACACGUGCUACAAUGGAUGGUACAACGAGUUGCGAACUCGCGAGAGUAAGCUAAUCUCUUAAAGCCAUUCUCAGUUCGGAUUGUAGGCUGCAACUCGCCUACAUGAAGUCGGAAUCGCUAGUAAUCGCGGAUC
This 1325-nucleotide ribosomal RNA is filed under the name Lactiplantibacillus plantarum. RNAcentral describes it as "bacterial SSU rRNA". It matches the Rfam family "Bacterial small subunit ribosomal RNA", at positions 59 to 1350 of the family's 1533-position model. The record is from RNAcentral. Lineage: Bacteria; Bacillati; Bacillota; Bacilli; Lactobacillales; Lactobacillaceae.